GAUGACGCUCCGCUUGCCACAGCAGGUGGCGUGGACCAAGCUUCUCCUCGACCCCUUCCUCGGGGGUCACGCCAGGGCGGCCGCCAAUGCCCUCUCCCGUUUAGUAGGGGUAGGGGGACACGGCGAUGAGCAAGACGAAGACGCUUUGGUGGCGCGGUGCCGCAGCACGCACGGGCUUGACCCCCGACCUGCACUUGAAGAUCUGCGUCAGCCAGGCUCUCGGGGACAACGCCAUUGACCACCACGUCGAGGAGCAGGAGGCCAUCGGGAUCCAGACCCCGGGCCACCUGGGUCAUCAUCCCUUCUGGACCAGCCCCGGUUUGUUCCAAACCGUUUGAAAAAAGAACCAAAAAAUGGCCCUGGACGUGGAUUCUCAGAUCUUCUUCAUGUGAUGCCCCGCCCUCCACGCAGGACCAGGUGGGGCCAUGGACUGGGCAAGGGGAACACACCCGCUCCCCACUUGCUCUGAGUCAGGGACGGUGCCAGCUUUGCAAGGUUCACAGGAGCUGGCCAGGCCCCUGUGCAUGGGCACCACCUUCCCAGCCUCUCUGUGCGUCUGUUUCAUGGAACAAAGCCUGGUCCACGGGCUUGGGGCCAGAUGCUUCUCCAGGCCUCACACUCCUGCAGCUAGAAUAAGCAGCCAUGUCUGGGCAGCGUCUCGCUUCAUCUGCUGUCUGCUGACAGCCAGCUCAGAGUGACUUCCCCAGCAAAAUCCCCUGACCCCACACUGCUCAUGCGGGACCAUGGCCAAGGGCAGCUUCAGAGGAGCUACUUUCAGUGAAGACUCCAUGAAUACUGCCCCUCCUGGACCCCCACGAGGGGCCAGGGAUUCCUUGGGAAGGGAGAGACAGUGACGUCCACUGUCACAAGCUCUGCAAGUCUCUCAGAGCAUUCAUCGCUCAGACACCGUACAUGAGAGCUCUGUGUGCAGGUGACUCUUCUUAGUCCUCUAGGUUUUCUAGGCAAUUCAAUUCUCCAUGUUUCCCGCUUCCCGUCACCUCCAGCCUGCACCCCUCACUCAUGACUGGAGAUCCCUCCACUUCCAUCAGCCUGAGCUUUAACUUAAAUGGGGAAAAGCCUCAGGGAGCCAUCGGUGGCUUGGGAAACCACAAUCUGAGCGCCCGCACCCCCAGAACACUGACCGUUUCACACACUCUUGGUCUGACUGUAAAUGCAGUUCCUUUGUUUUUGGGAGGUUGUGAGGGGGACAGGAAGUUGCCUGCAUCUGAGUCCACUUUGGAUUGCACUCAGCUUUGAGAGAUGGUCAGACGUGCUCUGGUCAUCAGGCCUUGAGCAAGUCUCGGGGCACAGGCUCUGCGCCUCCUAGGUCCAGCAUGUUCUGGAGGAUGCUCGCUGGGCUGUGACAAUAACCCAGAGGCAGGUGAUGCUCUGCCUUCCACUCACCCACGUUUGCUGGGACAUGGCGGAUGCUGCUGUGGAUGCUGCUGACCCCGGAGUGUGCCUCCUGCAUCACGCUGGUGUUGAGUGUGGCCACGCCAAAUUUCCGGCCAUUUAUCACCCCAGUCAUGCUGCCCCAGCUCCCCUGGGGCUCCCCUGUAAGGAAGGGAAAGAAUGACAGUGCCACUGACUAUCCACCCCGGGGCCCACAGCACAAGCAGGCUGUCAUUCCCAUUUCGUGAAGGAGUAAAUGGAGGCUCGGAGAGUUCACCUCCACUUGUCCAAGGACACACAGCUAAGGGGUCAUGGACUCAACGCCCAGGGGAUCUUGGCUCUAAAAGGGAAGGGAGGCUGUUAGGAGGAACCCUGGGCUCAGGGCGGAGCUGGCUUCUAAUUCUGGCUCUGCCAUUCCUUAAAACCUGGCCACCUCAGGCCCCCAAGCCACACCUGAGUUGGCUCACCUGUAAAAUGAGGAGGCGGGACCACAAACUCACAGAAGACCUGUGGGUCUCUGAAAUGCCGGGAGCCCACGAUGGCGUGGCUGGCACACUGAAGGAGCCAGGGCACCGAGCCAGAGCCGGGUGCCAUCACCUGAACAGCCCCAUUCCAUCAGUGCUGCUGGCCCUGGCUGCCCUGCAGCUGGCCUGGCCGGGUGGGCUGGUUUCCUAGCCGCUGCCCGCCAGGCCAUCUGUGAGCAGAUGCUCUUUAGCGCUAAUCAAACGGAUGAUGCAGGCACAGGGGGGUGCUUCCUCUGACUAAUGCGCCAGCUGUCUUGUUUAGGCAGAUGGCAUUCCAGGGGGCGAGAGACAGAAGUUAGCCUGCCUCUCCACUCAGCAGCUCUCAGGGGAAAUUAGCAACAAAUUGCCCAUGAUCUGUCAAAAAAUAACAUAAAACACUCAAGUGCUAGGAUCCUAAAUGGAUGAAUCAAGGGGCUGGUUAAUUUGGGGUUCUAGGAAGCAGGGCCAUUUCCUGCAGCCCAUAGCUGGGGUUUGAUGAGAUUUGAAGCCCAUCUGGGAUGUUUCUCAUCAGUAUCCGAUGCUCUGGGGCCCAUGGGAGGGACAGGAGAAGGGCCGUGAACCUAUCCCUGGCCUUUUAAUAGGGGAGUGAAGAAGAGAUCGGGAGCUGCAGAUGAGAAGGCUGGAGUGUGACCCGCGCAGCUUUGGAAGGGGACAGGAAAUGGAACCCAGGCACGGCAGGCAAGCCACCGCCAGCUCUCUCAGACAUGGAGUGACGUAGCAGCCUCUUGUCCCCCUACAAGGCCAGGAUUGGGACCUGCCAGGCUGAUGGGGAAGGAGGAAAAGCAGGUUUUCAGGAGGGAAAACAGGUUUAGAAGCUCCCAAACCCUGAACUCCCUUCACCCACCCAUGCCCCUUAAGGAAAUCGUCCCACAGAAAUCUUCAGGGCCACACACAAAGAUACGCAGCACGGUGUGGCUUUGGGGAAUGGAAACUAGGAAAAUAAACUACGUUGCUCAUUUGACAAAGCCAA
This is a long non-coding RNA of Homo sapiens (human), 2886 nucleotides long. RefSeq lists it as uncharacterized. The record is from RefSeq and is a predicted model, not a curated record. The transcript is spliced from 3 exons. NCBI's taxonomy places the organism in Eukaryota, Metazoa, Chordata, Mammalia, Primates, Hominidae.